This 1541-nucleotide ribosomal RNA is filed under the name bioreactor sludge metagenome. RNAcentral describes it as "bacterial LSU rRNA". It matches the Rfam family "Bacterial large subunit ribosomal RNA", at positions 1353 to 2925 of the family's 2925-position model. The record is from RNAcentral.
UCCUGAGCAAUGUUAAUCAUCUCAGGGUUAGUCGGCCCCUAAGCUGAGGCCAAACGGCGUAAGUAAUGGGAAACAGGUUAAAUAUUCCUGUACCUUCGACAUUUAAACUAAAGUGACGCAAGAGUGAAAGGAGAGCCACCUGAUGGAUGGUGGUCUAAGGUCGUAGUUGUGAGCAAUCAUGAUGAAAGCUGAACGGGAUGGCGCAAGCCUACAAACUCUCCCUAAUCAAGUUGCCAAGAAAAGCUUUAGUGUAUACUAAGAAGACCGUACCGCAAACCGACACAGGUAGAUGAGGAGAGUAUCCUAAGGUGCUCGAGUGAGCCGUAGUCAAGGAACUCGGCAAAUUAACCCCGUAACUUCGGGAUAAGGGGUGUCCAGAUUAUAUCUGGAUCGCAGAGAAAUGGGCCAAGCGACUGUUUAACAAAAACACAUGUCUAUGCAAAGCCUUUAAGGCGAAGUAUAUGGACUGACACCUGCCCGGUGCUGGAAGGUUAAGAGGAGAGGUUAGCGUAAGCGAAGCUUUGAAUCGAAGCCCCAGUAAACGGCGGCCGUAACUAUAACGGUCCUAAGGUAGCGAAAUUCCUUGUCGGGUAAGUUCCGACCUGCACGAAUGGUGUAACGAUUUGGUCACUGUCUCAACCACGGGCUCGGUGAACUUGUGGUACCGGUGAAGACGCCGGUUACCCGCAUAUGGACGGAAAGACCCCGUGCACCUUUACUGCACCCUAGCACUGGAUUCGGGUAAUCUAUGUGUAGAAUAGGUGGGAGACUAUGAAGCGGCGGCGCUAGCCGUCGUGGAGUCGCAAUGUGAAAUACCACCCUUGGCUUAUUUGAAUUCUAACCUACAUCCGUGAUCCGGGUGGGGGACACUGUUAGGCGGGUAGUUUGACUGGGGCGGUCGCCUCCUAAAUUGUAACGGAGGCUCUCAAAGGUAACCUCAACCUGGUUGGUAAUCAGGUGUUGAGCGCAAACGCAUAAGGUUGCUUAACUGCGAGACAGACAAGUCGAGCAGAUGCGAAAGCAGGAGUUAGUGAUCUGCCGGUUCCGAGUGGAAGGGCCGGCACUUAAAGGAUAAAAGGUACGCCGGGGAUAACAGGCUGAUCUCCUCCAAGAGUUCAUAUCGACGAGGAGGUUUGGCACCUCGAUGUCGGCUCAUCGCAUCCUGGGGCUGGAGAAGGUCCCAAGGGUUUGGCUGUUCGCCAAUUAAAGCGGUACGUGAGCUGGGUUCAGAACGUCGUGAGACAGUUCGGUCCCUAUCCUAUGCGGGCGAAAGAAACUUGAGAAGGCUCGUUCUUAGUACGAGAGGACCGGAACGAACGAACCUCUAGUGUACCAGUUGUUUUGCCAAAAGCACCGCUGGGUAGCUAUGUUCGGUUGAGAUAAGCGCUGAAAGCAUCUAAGCGCGAAACUCGCUUCAAGAUUAGGUUUCUCUUCCCUUCGGGGAAUAAGGCUCGUCGAAGAUUACGACGUUGAUAGGCUUCAGGUGUAAGCAUAGUAAUGUGUUCAGCCGAGAAGUACUAAUAAGCCGAAGACUUUACCUU